Molecule: long non-coding RNA, 2550 nt
Filed under: Homo sapiens (human)
Lineage: Eukaryota; Metazoa; Chordata; Mammalia; Primates; Hominidae
Description: HSALNT0262199
Source: RNAcentral
CCAUGAGCCACGCUGGAGAGUCCUCUCCUAAAGUUGCAACAGGCUCAGGGGGGCUGAGAAGGUAGAUUUUCUGUAGAAUCCUAGGAGAGAAGGAGGUAGUGUGAUCCUUGAGGCUCAAGCCUCCCACCUUAUCCCUUAGGGCUGGGCUGUGAGGGAGAGACACCCCUGAGAGCAGACCCCUUUCCUGAGGGCAGAGCCUGGGGCUGGGACCCCAAGGUGUCCUCCCACCUAUCACCACCAGCUCCAGGGAGUCAGUGAGCUCUGGGGCUGAAAUAGUGACAGUAAUAUCAUCCUACAUAUUCAUUUGUCAUGGAUAUGAUGGGGGAACUCGGCCUUGUCUCCAGGCUGCAGUGGGCUCUGUCUGUCCCAGGACACUGAGCUUCCCUCUUUUUUUUUUUUUUUUCUUUUUUUUUUUGAGACGGAGUCUUGCUCUGUCACCCAGGCUGCAGUGCAGCGGCGUGAUCUGGGCUCACUGCAAGCUCCGCCUCCUGGGUUCACGCCAUUCUCCUGCCACAGCCUCCCGAGUAGCUGGGACUACAGGCGCCCACCACCACACCCACCUAAUUUUUUGUAUUUUUAGUAGAGACAGGGUUUCACCAUGUUAGCCAGGAUGGUCUCGAUCUCCUGACCUCAUGAUCUGCCCGUCUCAGCCUCCCAAAGUGCUGGGAUUACAGGCAUGAGCCACCACGCCCAGCCCCCUCUUUUUUUUUUAGUUGGAGUCUUGCUCUGUCACCAGGCUGGAGUGUAGUGGCACAGUCUCAGCUCACUGCAAGCUCCGCCUCCCGGGUUCAAGUGAUUCUCCCACCUCAGCCUCCCAAGUAGCUGGGACUACAGGUGCACACCACCACGCCCAGCUAAUUUUUGUAUUUUUAGUAGAGACGGGGUUUCACCAUGUUGGCCAGGAUGGUCUCGAUCUCUUGACCUCAUGAUCUGCCUGCCUUGGCCUCUCAAAGUGCUGGGAUUACAGGCAUGAGCCACCGCGACCGGCCCUGGGCUUCCCUCUUUAUCCAAUCGGUACUCCUGGGCCUCCAGGUUCCCCUGACACCAGAGGGUCACAGGCCUCUCCCAGGUGAUCACAGAGCCUGUCUCAGCCCAUGGGGAGGGUUUGGGGAAGGGCCCUGAAAUGGAACCAGAGGCUGGGUCCCAAGAUCUCUUUCACUCCUGGUUCUCUAGUUUAGUCCAAAACCCCUCUCUGUUUUAUCACCCUCAGCCCAGAACAACUGUGCCCCCCAACCUGAGAGCCCAGGGGCUGGAGUAAGAGGGAGGCUCGUGGAGAACCUGGUAGCCCCUUCUCCCUCCAUCACUGACUGAGGCAGAGAAGCACGAACACCGUGAUGCCUGCUCUGGGGGCUCCAGCUGUGGGAGAGGAGACCACAGGGCCCUCCAGGACAGACAGACACACGGAUGUGGUCACUCAGAGCCUGCUGCUGCCCGUCCAGGCCUCUCUCCUUUACACUUGGAGAAACUGAGGCCCAGGCAGAGGAGGGGCCUGUCCACAUCACCACCUCCAGAGGAGCCUCAAACCGAUGACAGAACCCACCCCUGCCUCCCCUGGACCCCGCCCACCUCCCACUCAAAGCCCCUCACUUAGCACUGUGGGGGCCUGACGUUGUGGGGGUGAGGGGCUGGUCCUUAGGGCCUGCUGGGUCAGGAUGGGGAGGUGAGGGCUGGGGCUGCCCUGCUCCCCACGUCAGCCCGGCUGCUCCUCCCCCAGGCUGGGCCCCAACAUCUCCCUCUGCCUCGACCCCCGCCCCUCACCAGCCCAGCCUCAGAGCCCCGGGGAGCCUGUGGCCCCUCCUCUGGCUCUGCCUCAGCUCCCUGGAGGGAAGCUCGUGCUUGAGUCCUUGAGGGGAAUGGGAUCAUCUGGGAGACUCAGGACUGCCCUGGGGGAGGCCACCCUCCCUCUGAGCCCAGAGGCCUCAAUGACUCACCAGGUAUGGAGAAGGAGCCUAUGGGUGGAGGGCUGGGGCCCCUGGAGGGUCCUGGGAAGGAGCACAGAAAGGGAGUGAGGAAUUGGAGCUAUCCUGGAGUCCCCACCUCCACUCAAAGCUCUCCUCUCCAUCUGCCCAGUGGCCUCUCCAAGACCCUCCCUCUUCCCACCUAGCACCUUCUGGACUCCAGGUGAAGGAGAAGAGGGAGAACUCCUGUUGGCUUCUUCUCCUCUGAGGGGUGAAUUCCUCUGUGGCUGAGUCUCCCUCAGAGCCCCCUUCACUCCAUCUCUGCCCAGAGCUCUCCUGGGGGCAGGGCCUGAGCUGAGUCUUUGAACUUAGAGAGGACAGGGUCAGGGCCUUUCACCCAAGACCACCAGCUCCGACUGCGGUGUGAUAGCAGGUAGGGGGAGGUGCAGUCAUGUGAGAAUCUUGAAGGUGCCCAUGAAGGGAGUGUUUAUACCACAGUCAUCAACAAAUUCCACAAAUAAAUGCUUUUUAGAAAACUUUUUUGUUGUUGUUCAGGAAGCCAGUCUAUGCGCACAACAGCAGGCUUUUCCAUCAAACACUUCUCUUUUGAUUCCUAGUGACUGUAUCUCUGGAGAAACUACAGAUGAAGAGU